UAUCAGCCGCUAUCAGUGAUGACC
This 24-nucleotide non-coding RNA is filed under the name Mus musculus (house mouse). The record is from RNAcentral. Lineage: Eukaryota; Metazoa; Chordata; Mammalia; Rodentia; Muridae.